AUAUUUUCUAGAUUAAGUUACAUGUUAAAAGCAAUUCUAUUCAAAUUGAAGUAAAGUUUAAUAGGACAAUUACAAACAAGACCCUUUCAACUCAUCUUAAAAAAUUAAUUUUGCGUGAAAAUUAUAAAUUACUUCUUUUAUUAUUUAAAACGGGGCAUCAUAAAUCAAUUGCCAAUAAGAAAAAAACUUAAUUAACUCUUUUAAAAUGCCACCCAACAACAAUAAUUUUUUUUAGUACUUUGAAUAUGUAAACACGUGUUCAAUAAGGAAAAGCAGAAGGAAAAAAAAACUGUUGUAUAUUAUCAAAACUGCUCGACCUACAUAUUAAUUAGACAGGUAAUCACACCUGAAUUUGUAAUACCUAAUUUUUGUGUAUCAAAAUAGUAACUGGAUCCUUACUGACGACAUUUCCGCGUCGUGUCGUUGCAAUCCACACGUGACUUUCGUCUACCAAUAGCCAUUCACUCGCUCGACCCACGUGUUUAACCCAUGUAAGCGCAGUACAUACCACAAACCGUUUUAUCAGUUGCUGUUGAUAAAAACUUAACUCGUUUCUAUCUAUCACCUGUACAGGAAGUGACUUCCUGCUUUGGACUAUUGCCAAGUGGUGAUAUUCUCUUCAGGGGCAUAUUGCUGUACGUUCGUGUGUAGAAGCAG
Molecule: long non-coding RNA, 657 nt
Organism: Centruroides sculpturatus (bark scorpion)
Lineage: Eukaryota; Metazoa; Arthropoda; Arachnida; Scorpiones; Buthidae
Exons: 2
Source: RefSeq, a predicted model, not a curated record